RNAcentral lists this small RNA (154 nucleotides) under Arabidopsis thaliana (thale cress). RNAcentral describes it as "ATSL253290". Lineage: Eukaryota; Viridiplantae; Streptophyta; Magnoliopsida; Brassicales; Brassicaceae. The record is from RNAcentral.
UUUAAAUUAUUAUUUUUAGUCCUUACGUUGUCAAGUCAAAUAUUUACUAAUGUAGUAUCUUAUUAUAUAAAGUAUGGUUUUCAAAGUUACUAACUCAUAGGAUCGUGCAACGUGUCAAGUCAAACGAUCAGAUGUUUACAUAUUUCAUUCAAAA